GAUGAAGAACGCAGCGAAAUGCGAUAAGUAAUGUGAAUUGCAGAAUUCAGUGAAUCAUCGAAUCUUUGAACGCACAUUGCGCCCGUCAGUAUUCUGGCGGGCAUGCCUGUUCGAGCGUCAUUACGCCCCUCAAGUCCCCUGUGGACUUGGUGUUGGGGAUCGGCGAGGCUGGUUUUCCAGCACAGCCGUCCCUUAAAUUAAUUGGCGGUCUCGCCGUGGCCCUCCUCUGCGCAGUAGUAAAACACUCGCAACAGGAGCCCGGCGCGGUCCACUGCCGUAAAACCCCCCAACUUUUUAUAGUUGACCUCGAAUCAGGUAGGACUACCCGCUGAACUUAAGCAUAUCAAUAAGGGAGGA
Molecule: unclassified non-coding RNA, 357 nt
Filed under: soil metagenome
Description: partial contains 5.8S ribosomal RNA, internal transcribed spacer 2, and large subunit ribosomal RNA
Rfam family: 5.8S ribosomal RNA (bases 1-120)
Source: RNAcentral